Molecule: ribosomal RNA, 481 nt
Filed under: uncultured bacterium
Lineage: Bacteria
Description: SSU rRNA
Rfam family: Bacterial small subunit ribosomal RNA
Source: RNAcentral
AGGACGAACGCUGGCGGCGUGCUUAACACAUGCAAGUCGAACGGGGUCCAACCAGUGGCAACACUGGGGAAGAUCUAGUUGCGAACGGGUGAGUAACACGUGAGAAACCUGCCCCGGACUCAGGAAUAACAGUGGGAAACCGCUGCUAAUACCAGAUGCCGUCGCAGCAUCACAUGGUGCAGCGACGAAAGAAUUUCGGUUCGGGAGGGUCUCGCGGCCUAUCAGCUAGUUGGUGGGGUAACGGCCCACCAAGGCAUCGACGGGUAGCUGGUCUGAGAGGAUGAUCAGCCACACUGGGACUGAGACACGGCCCAGACUCCUACGGGAGGCAGCAGUGGGGAAUCUUGCGCAAUGGGCGAAAGCCUGACGCAGCAACGCCGCGUGCGGGAUGAAGGCCUUCGGGUUGUAAACCGCUUUCAGUAGGAACGAAAAUGACGGUACCUACAGAAGAAGGUCCGGCCAACUACGUGCCAGCAGCCGC